CUUUUAUUUUCCACCCAAAGCAGGGACCGUGAUGAUGGAAAUUGCAGCCUUUGCGAGAACUCCCAUGUAAGGUUUGCAAGUGUUGUCUUGAAACGCUUCAGGUCUCUGGCGGUGGACAGCUGCCUCCUGUAUUCCUUUGUGUGACAAGAGGCUGGGUGGGUGCUGGGACACUUCUGCUGUGCCCUGGAUAAAUGAGAAGUGACCGUGUCUUUCUCGUUUUACUUUCAGCUCACUCCGGUUGGCACCACAAUAUUUACAGGGUUUUCAGGAGACAAUGGAGCUACAGACAUAGAUGAUGGACCAAACGGGCAGAUAGAAUACGUCAUCCAGUACAAUCCGGAGGACCCGACAUCCAAUGACACCUUUGAAAUCCCCCUCAUGUUGACCGGGAAUGUGGUGUUAAGGAAGAGGCUCAACUAUGAAGACAAGACUCGGUACUUUGUCAUCAUCCAAGCUAAUGACCGGGCACAAAAUCUGAAUGAGCGGCGAACCACCACCACCACCCUCACGGUGGAUAUUCUGGACGGAGAUGACUUGGGUCCGAUGUUUCUUCCUUGUGUCCUUGUGCCGAACACUCGUGACUGUCGCCCGCUCACCUACCAAGCUGCCAUACCUGAGCUCAGAACUCCGGUAAAUAUACUCCCAU
Long non-coding RNA from Panthera uncia (snow leopard), 646 nucleotides. RefSeq lists it as uncharacterized. Lineage: Eukaryota; Metazoa; Chordata; Mammalia; Carnivora; Felidae. The transcript has 3 exons. The record is from RefSeq and is a predicted model, not a curated record.